This 460-nucleotide ribosomal RNA is filed under the name uncultured bacterium. RNAcentral describes it as "partial 16S ribosomal RNA". It matches the Rfam family "Bacterial small subunit ribosomal RNA", at positions 338 to 795 of the family's 1533-position model. The record is from RNAcentral.
CCUACGGGAGUCAGCAGUGAGGAAUAUUGGUCAAUGGGCGGGAGCCUGAACCAGCCAAGCCGCGUGAGGGAAGAAGGUACAGCGUAUCGUAAAGCUCUUUUGUCAGGGAACAAAGGCGGGGACUAGUCCCCGGAUGAGGGUAACUGAAGAAAAAGCAUCGGCUAACUCCGUGCAAGCAGCCGCGGUAAUACGGAGGAUGCGAGCGUUAGCCGGAUUUAUUGGGUUUAAAGGGUGCGUAGGCGGCCUUUUAAGUCAGCGGUGAAAGUCUGUGGCUCAACCAUAGAAUUGCCGUUGAAACUGGGGGGCUUGAGUAUGUUGGAGGCAGGCGGAAUGCGUGGUGUAGCGGUGAAAUGCUUAGAUAUCACGCAGAACCCCGAUUGCGAAGGCAGCCUGCCAAGCCAUGACUGACGCUGAUGCACGAAAGCGUGGGGAUCAAACAGGAUUAGAUACCCUUGUAGUC